Brienomyrus brachyistius is the source of this 3638-nucleotide long non-coding RNA. RefSeq lists it as uncharacterized. Lineage: Eukaryota; Metazoa; Chordata; Actinopteri; Osteoglossiformes; Mormyridae. The transcript is spliced from 3 exons. The record is from RefSeq and is a predicted model, not a curated record.
CGUUGAUGCUUUUUCCUUUCGUUUUCCAGGUCCCGUGUGCCUGGUCUUCGUCACGUCUGCCGCCUCCCCUGAGACUCGCCCGAGAAUGCACGCCUUCGGGGGGGGAGGUUCUGUCAUGACCUGCUCGUCCGAUCCUCCUGUGUGCCACGCCCCCCCCAUUACCUCGUGUUCAUUCCCGAUUGUGAUCACCUGCUGCCUGUUAUUUUCAGCUUGUCCUGUGUAUUUAGUCUGCGUCAGAAUCCGUUUUCCCCAGAUCCGUCACUGAUGUUAGUUCGUCGCCGUCUCCCCUGUUUCCCCUAACAAAACCCCGUAUCCUGCAUCCUCGUCUGCCAGCCUCAUCCUUCCCCGGCGUCCUGCCUGUUCGCCGACCAGCGAUCACUACAAGGACGUCCUAUGUCACAUAAGACAGUGUGUCUGUGUUACGAUCCAGUCUAGGGUUGGAGCGUAGCAGAAAGGACAUGGAAUAGGGAAAGGGGAAAACAGGACAACCAGAGGCGGAGGAAAGGGAACACGGGACACAAAGGGAUCUUUUUUUUAUAUAGUUUUUGUUAUAUUUUUUACACAGAUACUUCACAACAAGAGGUGCAAGAGAUUUCGGGGGUGACACGGGCCAAUAUAACAAACAAAACACCGCUACCGAACGAAACCCAAGCUAAGCUAGUCCUACGUGAAAACAAAACACAAACAAAACAACAAUACAGAAAACACACAAUCCAAGACGACAGUGUCCGAGUGGGCGAGCAAAAGAAUGGUCAACGAACAGGCGGGAGAUGAAGACCAAAGACAACAAUUAAAGCCGAGGCGAAGGUACAGACAAAGGGCGAGGCGAAAAUCUGAAACCAAAACCCAAAGAAUAGUCAUACACAAGUGAUCAAAUCAACAACAAUCCAACGAUAAAUCCAAGCAAUGAGCAAAACUUUCGAGGUGUGCGAGCUGUGGCCUUUUCUAGAAACAGAAAGUAGCGCCGAAGAUGGGGCGUGGCCAAGUCUGGGAGGCGGAGCCAAAGGGAGCAACCAGCAAAUGGUGACGAGGGCGAGAAGACCGGAGAAUCUGCCAGGACCUCCUGCAAACAUUUACGGCACGUAACACUUACAGCCCGUAUCACUUACGCUUUUGCACGUACAGUAACACUUACGGCACGUAACAUUACGGAAGGAUCUUCGUUCAUUUAAACUUUCUGAGAACCGCUGUGCCUAUAAUCCAUUGUAUCUUACAGGAUGUCUGUUGCAGACAAUCACCACAAGCCAAGCUUACUUAAAUUUUGAGGCCCUAAGAGAGGUCUCCAUGAUGUGGGAAAUAGUUAGCCAUCCAGGACUUAAAAACCUGCCCAGGAUGUGCUCAUGUGAACAAUCGCCCUUAUUAAUUAAUAGUAUAUUCUUCCUCUGUUCUACUGAAUAAAUAUAGUCAUCGCAUGGGAUUGGAUUGGUUAUGGACAGGGAAUUACCAUUGUAGGUUAUAUGUGGGUUCAAUGAACUGCAGAUACUACUGCUGACAUGUCUUAUGUGAGGAUUUCAGGCUUAUUCAAAAUGACAGAAUUGUAUAAAAAUGCCAGAAUGGGAAUAUUUCUAAAUACUAUUAUACGGUCUUUGGAUGUAUUGAGCUAAUACUUCUCAUUGUACCAAUCAUUUAUUUCUUAAAUUAUUCAGACUUUUUAAAAUUGAAUCUGUCCAUCAUGCUGAAUUAAUUAUGAACUGAAAUUUUUAGAAGGAAAUGGGGUGUAAUUUCAAACAUAUAUUGUAGCCACAGAAUGUAUUACUUAAAUGAUUCACUUAAGUAGGUUUUAACAUUAUCUGAGCAAUACAUACAAUAUGUAUAAAAGAAGUAUAUUAUUAGAUUUUUCAAAGAGCAGUAAGGAUUAUGCUGAGCUAUAACUGAAUGACAUCUGAAAUAUUUGGUGAAUUGCAGUUAAUUUGCAUUAAAGAAAUUUUAUAUAAUCAUUCUGAACAAAUAUGUUUACUUACAGGGGGUGGCAUGGUGGUGCAGUGGUUAUCACUGUUGCCUCACACCUCUGGGACCUGAGUUCGAGUCUCCGCCUGGGUCACAUGUGUGUGGAGUUUGCAUGUUCUCCCCAUGUCGUCGUGGGGUUUCCUCCGGGUACUCCGGUUUCCCCCCACAGUCCAAAAACAUGCUGAGGCUAAUUGGAGUUGCUAAAUUGCCCAUAGGUGAGCAUGUGUGAGUGAAUGGUGUGUGAGUGUGCCCUGCGAUGGGCUGGCCCCCCAUCCUGGGUUGUUCCCUGCCUCGUGCCCAUUGCUUCCAGGAUAGGCUCCGGACCCCCCGCAACCCAGUAGGGCACAGACUGACCAUCGGGAGGAGCAGCUGAUUUUCUGCUGGCCUGGCCUGCCAAUCAGAGAGGACCUUGAAAUAAUCAGAUGGUGAAACAAGCUAGAUAGAUGUUUUAGUGCAAAAUGCCCACACAAUAUGGUCUCACCCCAGGUCUCUCAGUAUGUGUUAUGAUCUGCCUGCCAUGAUCCCACAGUGCAAUAAGACCCAUGUAUCAAUAUUGGACUGACAUCAUGUAAAGAUAAAUAAACCACCUUGAAUAUUUUGUUUGAGUAAAUAGCUAAUCUGCAUGGCUUUGGUGAAGUGAAAUAAAACAAAAGGCAAGGGAGAGAGAGAGGAAAAGACGAGCCCUCAAAGAGAAAGCUGAAAAAUGUUCUAAAUGACUGAUUUUCAGCAAAUUACAACAAGGGGUCAGGUAAUGUUAGCAAACAUGCCGCUAAUCACAGAUGCUUGCAGCUAGAGUGGCCAGAUGUCCCCUUCAGGCCAAACAGUCUGGGUUUUCAGCUUCAUGUCCUCUGUCCAGUGCAAGGUCUGGGCAGAUGCUUGUAUAUCAGCUUGGGGAUCUUCGGCUCAAAACAGUCUGUGUUCCAACACAUCAUACGCUACACCCAAUAUACUUAAAAUUAAAAUUAAUUUGAGUUAAACUUUUGAAUAAAUGUAAAUUGUACUGGAAUAUUUACUUAUAUCCUUAUUGUGUCAAGUGAUUUUUUUUAGGGCCCCUGAAUUUGUCAUGCCUCUUCAACCCCCUUGGCUCAGUGUGUUCAAGUAAGAUGGGCCCUAUGUCAAUAAGUUUGUGUGGAAUUUCUACUUUAACUUGAGGAGUUUUGUGAAAUUACCAGUACCAAGACAUUAAAUUAUUGCUUUAAUUUUUGCCAAGUAUUACUCUAUAAAACUUUUAAAAUGUUAAAAGUUGCAUAUGCCCCAUUUGAUUGGAGAUUAAAUUUUAAGUGAAAUUAAAAACAGAAGACAAACUUCCUACAUAUAUGAAGCUCAUGAAAGUUCCAUUACGUUCUGUUUUAUCUUUUCAUUGUAAGAAUGUGAUUUAUUUCCCUGAGGUUUUGACCAACCUUUGAAGUUUACAUUUCCCAUCAUGCCAUUACUAUACUGCAACAGGAAUGCGCCAACCAGGAAUUGAAUCUUCAUCCUAAAGAACUAUGAGAUGUAUCAAAUACUGUCAUAGCAUGUGAUUAACUGAAUAAACUUCCACGUCUAUUCUAUGUGUCAUCAUAACCUUAUAAAAGACUCAUAGCCUUACAUUACUUAUUUCGCCUACAGCCAAUAACAGGAUUUGCUGUAAUCCUCUCUUAACUGUUGUGGCCAGAUUCACUUCAUGUCAGGUCCAGUAUUACCAAACACAA